GAAAUUAUUUUUCCAAAGUUUAAGAAGGUACGAAAAGUCAACCCUGAUCUAACAUACAAUUAUGUAACAGAGCUAGUAGCAGAUGUCUUCCAUCAGGCCUGUCCAAUUGUGAUAUAAUUUUGUCAAGGACCAUGAAGAUGCAUCUCAAUCCUCCAAUUUUUAUAUCUUGUCUGUGAUACUUGGCACCCCAUCCAUUGACUGACCUUAGCCUCAUAGUUAGUACACAUCUCUGUAAGUCCCAGCCAAUAGAACAGAAGAAAUGUUGGUCAACCAUGAGGUACCAUUGCAAAGAGAUAAGUGCUAAGGAAGAGCUAGAUCCGCAGUUUCCAUGCAGUAUCAAUAAUUACAGCCUGCAAUCUUGGUUUUUAGGAUCGCCAGGGCCCAAAGUAGUAAAACUCAAUGUAUUAUAACAUUGGGUGAAUGACCAUUUGUAUGAUUUUUAGAAAGACACAUCUUUUUGUGUUAAUUAAAAUAUUCCUUAUAAUCAAUAACAGACAAAAAAUUGCAGAAAUGGAUUCCGCCUGUGUACCAAGCAUCAUCUAAACAGGAAGAUGAAAGAAUGCACGAUGAUGAAACUCCCACAAUACUUACUGAUAAUAAUUGAAGUCACUACCUGAAGCAUUGUGCAAUUUAGAGAGAAGUUGCCUUGGACUUUGAAUUGAUAACAAUGAAGUGAAUUUCCUAUUUCCAAUGAUGCAUACUGCAGCCAAUUGAAUUUGCUAAACAACUGACAACAACAUCAUCAAAUA
Molecule: long non-coding RNA, 749 nt
Organism: Amphimedon queenslandica
Lineage: Eukaryota; Metazoa; Porifera; Demospongiae; Haplosclerida; Niphatidae
Exons: 4
Source: RefSeq, a predicted model, not a curated record